GGUUUGUGGCUUAGUGGUAGAGCACUCACCUAGCAUGGGUGAGUCACUGGGUUCAAUCCUCAGCACCA
Molecule: transfer RNA, 68 nt
Filed under: Marmota monax (woodchuck)
Lineage: Eukaryota; Metazoa; Chordata; Mammalia; Rodentia; Sciuridae
Description: tRNA.Ala
Source: RNAcentral